RNAcentral lists this ribosomal RNA (251 nucleotides) under uncultured bacterium. RNAcentral's name for it is "partial 16S ribosomal RNA". It matches the Rfam family "Bacterial small subunit ribosomal RNA", at positions 524 to 776 of the family's 1533-position model. The record is from RNAcentral.
UACGAAGGGGGCUAGCGUUGCUCGGAAUCACUGGGCGUAAAGGGUGCGUAGGCGGUUGUGUGCGUCGGCGCUGAAAUCACGAGGCUUAACUUCGUGGCGCGUGCCGAUACGACACGACUUGAGGCUCUGAGAGGGUGGCGGAACCUCCUGGUGUAGCGGUGAAAUGCGCAGAUAUCAGGAGGAACACCGGUGGCGAAGGCGGUCUCUGGCCGAUACUGACGCUGAGGAGCGAAAGCGUGGGAGCGAACAGG